Molecule: ribosomal RNA, 486 nt
Filed under: uncultured bacterium
Lineage: Bacteria
Description: bacterial SSU rRNA
Rfam family: Bacterial small subunit ribosomal RNA
Source: RNAcentral
GAUGAACGCUAGCGGCAGGCCUAACACAUGCAAGUCGAGGGGCAUCGCGGUGCAGCAAUGCACUGGCGGCGACCGGCGUACGGGUGCGUAACGCGUAUGCAACCUGCCCCGCACCGGGGGAUAGCCCGCCGAAAGGCGGAUUAAUACCCCAUGGUCCCGGGGGCCCGCAUGGGCAUCCGGGUAAAGCCUUGGCGGUGCGGGAUGGGCAUGCGUGCCAUUAGCUGGCUGGUGGGGUAACGGCCCACCAGGGCAACGAUGGCUAGGGGGUCUGAGAGGAUGGUCCCCCACACUGGUACUGAGACACGGACCAGACUCCUACGGGAGGCAGCAGUGAGGAAUAUUGGUCAAUGGGCGGAAGCCUGAACCAGCCAUGCCGCGUGCGGGAUGAAGGCCCUACGGGUUGUAAACCGACUUUUCCCCGGGAAGAAUAACCCCGAUGAGUCGGGGAUGCCGGUACCGGGGGAAUAAGGAUCGGCUAACUCCGUG